GGUAUUUUGACCGUGCAAAGGUAGCAUAAUCAUUAGUUUUUUAAUUGAAAGCUGGAAUGAAAGGUUGGAUGAGAAAUAAGCUGUCUCUAUUUAAUUUUAUUAGAAUUUUAUUUUUAAGUUAAAAAGCUUAAAUUUAAGUAGAAGACGAGAAGACCCUAUAGAGUUUUAUUUAUUUUUUAAAUAAAAUUAAUAGUAUUAAUUAUUUUUAUUUAAAAGGUGAAUUUAGUUGGGGUGAUUGAAAAAUUUAAUUAACUUUUUUUUGUGUAGUUACAUUGAUAUAUGAAUAAUUGAUCCUUAUUUUAAGAUUAAAAGAUAAAAUUACCUUAGGGAUAACAGCGUAAUUUUUUUUGAGAGUUCUAAUCGAAAGAAAAGAUUGCGACCUCGAUGUUGGAUUAAAAUAAAAUUUUGGUGUAGAAGCUAAAA
This 423-nucleotide ribosomal RNA is filed under the name Laparocerus ellipticus. Its description in RNAcentral is "partial 16S ribosomal RNA". The record is from RNAcentral. Lineage: Eukaryota; Metazoa; Arthropoda; Insecta; Coleoptera; Curculionidae.